This 253-nucleotide ribosomal RNA is filed under the name uncultured bacterium. Its description in RNAcentral is "partial 16S ribosomal RNA". It matches the Rfam family "Bacterial small subunit ribosomal RNA", at positions 524 to 776 of the family's 1533-position model. The record is from RNAcentral.
GACAGAGGGUGCAACCGUUGUUCGGAAUUACUGGGCGUAAAGCGUGUGUAGGCGGCCGUGCCAGUCGGAUGUGAAAGCCCUGGGCUCAACUCAGGAAGUGCACCCGAUACUACGUGGCUCGAGUACCGGAGAGGUUGGUGGAAUUCUCGGUGUAGAGGUGAAAUUCGUAGAUAUCGAGAGGAACACCUGUGGCGAAGGCGGCCAACUGGACGAGUACUGACGCUGAGACACGAAAGCGUGGGGAGCAAACAGG